This 497-nucleotide ribosomal RNA is filed under the name uncultured bacterium. RNAcentral's name for it is "partial 16S ribosomal RNA". It matches the Rfam family "Bacterial small subunit ribosomal RNA", at positions 28 to 507 of the family's 1533-position model. The record is from RNAcentral.
GAUGAACGCUGGCGGCGUGCCUAAUACAUGCAAGUCGAGCGAACAGACGAGGAGCUUGCUCCUCUGACGUUAGCGGCGGACGGGUGAGUAACACGUGGAUAACCUACCUAUAAGACUGGGAUAACUUCGGGAAACCGGAGCUAAUACCGGAUAAUAUAUUGAACCGCAUGGUUCAAUAGUGAAAGACGGUUUUGCUGUCACUUAUAGAUGGAUCCGCGCCGCAUUAGCUAGUUGGUAAGGUAACGGCUUACCAAGGCAACGAUGCGUAGCCGACCUGAGAGGGUGAUCGGCCACACUGGAAAUGAGACACGGUCCAGGCGCCUACGGGAGGCAGCAGUAGGGAAUCUUCCGCAAUGGGCGAGAGCCUGACGGAGCAACGCCGCGUGAGUGAUGAAGGUCUUCGGACCGUAAAACUCUGUUAUUAGGGAAGAACAAAUGUGUAAGUAACUAUGCACGUCUUGACGGUACCUAAUCAGAAAGCCACGGCUAACUACGUG